This 254-nucleotide ribosomal RNA is filed under the name uncultured bacterium. RNAcentral describes it as "partial 16S ribosomal RNA". It matches the Rfam family "Bacterial small subunit ribosomal RNA", at positions 524 to 776 of the family's 1533-position model. The record is from RNAcentral.
UACGUAGGGUCCAAGCGUUGUCCGGAUUUAUUGGGCGUAAAGAGCUCGUAGGCGGUUCGGUAAGUCGGAUGUGAAAACUCAGGGCUCAACCCGGAGACGCCAUCCGAUACUGCUGUGACUUGAGUCUGGUAGGGGAUCACGGAAUACCUGGUGUAGCGGUGAAAUGCGCAGAUAUCAGGAGGAACACCAGCGGCGAAGGCGCCGCUCUGGGCCGUAACUGACGCUGAGGAGCGAAAGCAUGGGUAGCAAACAGG